Molecule: long non-coding RNA, 1649 nt
Filed under: Salmo salar (Atlantic salmon)
Lineage: Eukaryota; Metazoa; Chordata; Actinopteri; Salmoniformes; Salmonidae
Description: lncRNA (ENSSSAG00000115200.1)
Source: RNAcentral
CGCAACUUGAAUGCGCCUAGAGAGGAAUAUUUAUCACGCAUGGAACACAACAACAAGCUGACUAGAACGGACAUGUCAUCUCCAAACCAGGGUCCUUUUGGUUCCAGACUUGGUGCAUCGGUACCGCUUGCCUUGCGGUAGCAGAGAGAACAUAUGACUUAGGUGGCUGGAGUCUUUGAAAAUUCUUAGGGCCUUCCUCUGACACCGCCUGGUAUAGAGGUCCUGGAUGGCAGGGAGCUCGGCCCCAGUGAUGUGCUUGGCCAUACGCCCUACCCUCUGGUAGAAAUGAGGUCUGUCUGAAGAAGGAGGAACAUGGACAGAGACAGGUAGAACUGAACGCUUCGACUCGCCAAGCCCAGAGCUGUGAUGUCGGGCCUCUAACAACUCACUGGAACUCUCCUUCCUAAUGUUCAGCUAAUUUGGCUCUUCCGCUGUGUCCUCGGAUCAGAAGAAGGGGAAGUCCUAAAAGGGGAACCUUUUAUCUUGGUGACACCGCUUUUCACCUCCACUGGUGACUUACUGGGGGCCGGUGCUCCUGUUGCACCCUGGGAUACCAAACGAUGGAGGAUGCCUCUAGCCCACGUACCCUGGCAACCGUUCUUGAAGCCUACAGCUCCACUCUCCAAACCUCCACCCCCUAACCCCUCCACUCCAUCCCUUCACCCAGCGUCCCCAGUCCAGGGCUCUGGCCACACAUAAACCCCAGACAGGCCUCUGAUGGAUGGGGCUGGAGAGAGAAGAAAAGCCCUUGAUGUUAGAAAUAAAUCUGACAGGCCCUACUGGAAAGGGCUAGGCCUAAUCUUUCCCAGACUAAGGUUUUUUCCUUUUCUUAUUUUUUAUAUCCUUCUCUCUCUUUAUUUCCACCCCCACUCUCUUCUCUUCGUCCAUGUCUACAGAGAUAAUGCUGUAAUUUACAGCCAAGCAUUAUGGAAGAUGAAUGAUAGUUGCUUUUUAGACUUAAUACACAUUAGCCUUUAACAGAUAAUAGCCUACUGGUAAGAGGAAAACAAAGAAAUACCUUCAAAAGGAAUUUGUUUUUUGGUCAUAUUCUUCCCCUGAUGUUCUAAAUGUUAUAUAAUUCCUAUUCUUUCAUAAGAUUCAAAGUUGCUACUGAUCAAAGUACACUGAUCAAUCUUCUUUUCAAAGGUACCUUGCUUUUAUUUUUCAUAUUCAUGGUUAAAGUAUGGUGGAGAAUAGACAGUAAAGCAAUGCUUUUCCCAUUUCUAUGACUGUUUGUGAUUCUCCUGAGUGUAUACAUGUGUGACACUGGCUGUAAAGAAACACUGUGGAUAUAAUUUGAAACACACACGAACACACACACACAGGUCAACAGCAGAUCCACAACAGUGGUUUCAGGGCCACUGACAGUCACUCAAUUAGCUAACCAUUUUUAGAUUGGUAAGUUACUUUAGCCAGUUAUCUAAACUUGUAGUAGUCAUGGCCGAAUAGGGACCGGGCACGCAAGGCACGUGCCCAGGGGCCCUGACCUCCAAGGGGCCACCAUUGAUUUUGUUAGUCACUUUCACUCAGGUAUCAUUAACAUGGCAAAAUGUGUAUAAUUGUAGGAAAUUUGCUUUAAAUCUGCUAAGAUUUCUCUUCACCCCAUGGCAAAAUGGGUAGAACUGCAGAAAACUUGCUUUAAAACUGCA